Long non-coding RNA from Mauremys mutica (yellowpond turtle), 1035 nucleotides. RefSeq lists it as uncharacterized. The transcript is spliced from 4 exons. Lineage: Eukaryota; Metazoa; Chordata; Testudines; Geoemydidae. The record is from RefSeq and is a predicted model, not a curated record.
CCAUCUUGCUGAAAAUCUUAUCUACUCGUUGCUCUGGCGUGAGACCAUCCUCAUUCAUUUUCAUCAUUAUCACAGUACCCACCAUCUUGUAAAUGGCCUUUGGAAAGAAACAAAAAGAUUAUCUUGGUUGGUAAGAAGUAAACCUACCGUAAUCAUCUGUAGAACACUUGACCAAGAAUGAAAAGAUUUUUCCAUCAGGAUAUGAAGCUUCACAAAAUCAUGCUGUCUCACAACGUGCUGAGGAGCCUGGCUGUUGUCGAGGAGUCAGCACGUACUGCUAAAGGGGACCGACUACACCUUUGCAGAUCUCUCUGUUACUUUCAUUGGUGGUCACUAUAAACACUACGGAGAAAGGCAAAGAGAUGAAGGGAAUUGGAAAAAAAUAAUUUUUGUGCCUUACAUCACUAGAGAACCUCGCUAAUAUGCUUCCCAGUUCUACUCCCUGCGAACAUCCUCAGUGUAAUGUACACGCCCCUGGGCUCCCAGGCAUUCCUUAGGCACUGACUGCAGGCCGCCAUUAGUGGUGUUCAGGACUGUCUGCAGCAGAAUGAGAAAUUCUGUUUUGUCUUCAUCAGUCACUCUUCUGUGCAGUGACUCUGCUCCCCUGUACUGAGAAGCACCAGGAAUGGAGUUGCCCUUGGAGCCGAGAGGCAUAACAUAGCCGAGUAUCCCUUUAACCCAUUAAAUCAAGCGCUGCAGAGUGAAUGAUAGAGAUUGUAGGAAAUGGGUCAGGAAGAUACUGGGAGCAUGGACUGCUGUGAAUCAAGGAAAACAGACAAGGGGAGCAGGGAAGGAGACCAGCUGCUAAUGAGACUAGGCAUCUACCCCCCCAACAGAAACACUCUGGAGCCCAGCAGUCAGACUGGGAGCCCUAGAACUGAGACAACUGGCCUAGAGAUGAAGAAAGGAGGACAAGAACACUGCUGUGCCCCCUGUUCCUAGGCAGACGCAGGAACUGAAAUAACCUCCUCAAUCUAUUCCCAGCAAACGGAACAUGAAAUUACCUAAAUUGGAAAGUAUCAGGGGGUAGCUGUG